CAGUGUUACAGCUCUCUUAAAAUUUAUCUAGCAGGUUUUCUGGUCUUCAAUGGAAAGCCCCC
Molecule: small nuclear RNA, 62 nt
Filed under: Gorilla gorilla gorilla (western lowland gorilla)
Lineage: Eukaryota; Metazoa; Chordata; Mammalia; Primates; Hominidae
Description: U7 small nuclear RNA
Rfam family: U7 small nuclear RNA
About the family: Animal histone pre-mRNAs are spliced by a different mechanism than nuclear pre-mRNAs and self-splicing introns. This processing involves the U7 snRNP, which contains only one RNA species: U7.
Source: Rfam by way of RNAcentral